GAGUUUGAUCCUGGCUCAGGACGAACGCUGGCGGCGUGCCUAAUACAUGCAAGUCGAGCGAACCAAUUGAAAGCCUAGCUUUCAUGAGGUUAGCGGCGGACGGGUGAGUAACAUGUGGGUAACCUGCCCUAUAGACUGGGAUAACUCGCGGAAACGCGUGCUAAUACUGGAUAACACAUCAGGGUGCAUGCUUUGGUGUUGAAAGAUGGUUCUGCUAUCACUAUAGGAUGGGCCCGCGGCGCAUUAGCUUGUUGGUGGGGUAACGGCCUACCAAGGCGACGAUGCGUAGCCGACCUGAGAGGGUGAUCGGCCACACUGGGACUGAGACACGGCCCAGACUCCUACGGGAGGCAGCAGUAGGGAAUCUUCCACAAUGGGCGAAAGCCUGAUGGAGCAACGCCGCGUGAGCGAAGAAGGUCUUCGGGUCGUAAAGCUCUGUUGUAAGGGAAGAACAAGUGCAGUAGUAACUGGCUGCACCUUGACGGUACCUUACUAGAAAGCCACGGCUAACUACGUGCCAGCAGCCGCGGUAAUACGUAGGUGGCAAGCGUUGUCCGGAAUUAUUGGGCGUAAAGCGCGCGCAGGCGGUCUUUUAAGUCUGAUGUGAAAGCCCCCGGCUUAACCGGGGAGGGUCAUUGGAAACUGGGAGACUUGAGUGCAGGAGAGGGAAGCGGAAUUCCAUGUGUAGCGGUGAAAUGCGUAGAGAUAUGGAGGAACACCAGUGGCGAAGGCGGCUUCCUGGCCUGUAACUGACGCUGAGGCGCGAAAGCGUGGGGAGCAAACAGGAUUAGAUACCCUGGUAGUCCACGGCGUAAACGAUGAGUGCUAAGUGUUUAGGGGGUUCCGCCCCUUAGUGCUGCAGCUAACGCAUUAAGCACUCCGCCUGGGGAGUACGGUCGCAAGACUGAA
RNAcentral lists this ribosomal RNA (909 nucleotides) under uncultured bacterium. Its description in RNAcentral is "bacterial SSU rRNA". It matches the Rfam family "Bacterial small subunit ribosomal RNA", at positions 9 to 898 of the family's 1533-position model. The record is from RNAcentral.